GGUUUCGAUUCUGGCUCAGAUUGAACGCUGGCGGGAUGCUUUACACAUGCAAGUCGAACGGCAGCACGGACUUCGGUCUGGUGGCGAGUGGCGAACGGGUGAGUAAUGUAUCGGAACGUGCCCUAGUAGCGGGGGAUAACUACGCGAAAGCGUAGCUAAUACCGCAUACGCCCUUCGGGGAAAGCGGGGGACCUUCGGGCCUCGCACUAUUAGAGCGGCCGAUAUCGGAUUAGCUAGUUGGUGGGGUAACGGCUCACCAAGGCGACGAUCCGUAGCUGGUUUUGAAGGACGACCAGCCACACUGGGACUGAGACACGGCCCAGACUCCUACGGGAGGCGGCAGUGGGGAAUUUUGGACAAUGGGAAACCUGAUCCAGCCAUCCCGCGUGCGAUGAAGGCCUUCCGGGUUGUAAAGCACUUUUGGCAGGAAGAAACGGCACGGGAUAAUACCCGUGCAACUGACGGUACCUGCAGAAUAAGCACCGGCUAACUACGUGCCAGCAGCCGCGGUAAUACGGCGGUGCAAGCGUUAAUCGGAAUUACUGGGCGUAAAGCGUGCGCAGGCGGUUCGGAAAGAAAGAUGUGAAAUCCCAGAGCUUAACUUUGGAACUGCAUUUUAGCUACCGAGCUAGAGUGUGUCAGAGGGAGGUGGAAUUCCCGCGUGUAGCAGUGAAAUGCGUAGAUAUGCGGAGGAACACCGAUGGCAGAAGGCAGCCUCCUGGGAUAACACUGACGCUCAUGCACGAAAGCGUGGGGAGCAAACAGGAUUAGAUACCCUCGUGAGUCCACGCCCCUAAACGAUGUCAACUAGCUGUUGGGGCCUUCAGGCCUUGGUAGCCGCAACUAACGCGUGAAGUUGACCGCCUGGGGAAGUACGGUCGCAAGAUUAAAACUCAAAGGAAUUGACGGGGACCCGCACAAGCGGUGGAUGAUGUGGAUUAAUUCGAUGCAACGCGAAAAACCUUACCUACCCUUGACAUGUCUGGAAUCCCGAAGAGAUUUGGGAGUGCUCGCAAGAGAACCGGAACACAGGUGCUGCAUGGCUGUCGUCAGCUCGUGUCGUGAGAUGUUGGGUUAAGUCCGCAACGAGCGCAACCCUUGUCAUUAGUUGCUACGAAGAACGCUCUAAUGAGACUGCCGGUGACAAACCGGAGGAAGGUGGGGAUGACGUCAAGUCCUCAUGGCCCUUAUGGGUAGGGCUUCACGUCAUACAAUGGUCGGGACAGAGGGUCGCCAACCCGCGAGGGGGCCAAUCCCAGAAACCCGAUCGUAGUCCGGAUCGCAGUCUGCAACUCGACUGCGUGAAGUCGGAAUCGCUAGUAAUCGCGGAUCAGCAUGUCGCGGUGAAUACGUUCCCGGGUCUUGUACACACGCCCGUCACACCAUGGGAGUGGGUUUUACCAGAAGUGGUUAGCCUAACCGUAAGGAGGGCGAUUACCACGGUAAGUUCAUGACUAGGGUGAAGUCGUAACAAAGGUAAC
Molecule: ribosomal RNA, 1481 nt
Filed under: uncultured Bordetella sp.
Lineage: Bacteria; Pseudomonadati; Pseudomonadota; Betaproteobacteria; Burkholderiales; Alcaligenaceae
Description: partial 16S-23S ribosomal RNA intergenic spacer
Rfam family: Bacterial small subunit ribosomal RNA
Source: RNAcentral